RNAcentral lists this ribosomal RNA (474 nucleotides) under Xanthomonas sp. oral taxon 037. RNAcentral's name for it is "bacterial SSU rRNA". It matches the Rfam family "Bacterial small subunit ribosomal RNA", at positions 29 to 491 of the family's 1533-position model. The record is from RNAcentral. Lineage: Bacteria; Pseudomonadati; Pseudomonadota; Gammaproteobacteria; Lysobacterales; Lysobacteraceae.
AGUGAACGCUGGCGGUAGGCCUAACACAUGCAAGUCGAACGGCAGCACAGGAGAGCUUGCUCUCUGGGUGGCGAGUGGCGGACGGGUGAGGAAUGCAUCGGAAUCUACUCUUUCGUGGGGGAUAACGUAGGGAAACUUACGCUAAUACCGCAUACGACCUACGGGUGAAAGCCGGGGACCUUCGGGCCUGGCGCGAAAGAAUGAGCCGAUGCCCGAUUAGCUAGUUGGCGGGGUAAGAGCCCACCAAGGCGACGAUCGGUAGCUGGUCUGAGAGGAUGAUCAGCCACACUGGAACUGAGACACGGUCCAGACUCCUACGGGAGGCAGCAGUGGGGAAUAUUGGACAAUGGGCGCAAGCCUGAUCCAGCCAUACCGCGUGGGUGAAGAAGGCCUUCGGGUUGUAAAGCCCUUUUGUUGGGAAAGAAAAGCAGUCGGUUAAUACCCGAUUGUUCUGACGGUACCCAAAGAAUAAGC